Non-coding RNA from Pelodiscus sinensis (Chinese soft-shelled turtle), 587 nucleotides. The record is from RefSeq and is a predicted model, not a curated record. NCBI's taxonomy places the organism in Eukaryota, Metazoa, Chordata, Testudines, Trionychidae.
AUCCUGCACUCUUUUCUUAGCAAAUAUUACUAAUAGCUUGGCAGUUUCUUUCUGCAAAACUGCAGUUGAUCAUUUAACAGCCAGGACAACAAUUGGGAAUUUACUCUUUUACAUGAGGUCAUUCUAUGUACAUAAAUCAGCUGCGGAUAUGGAAAACAGAAGGGUGUGACAGAAGAAAAACAAAGGAGAUGCCUAAGCAGAGGUCUAUUUCUUCUCCCAGUGAACAGCUCAGAAGUCAUUAGGAGGAACCCUUUUGUGAUACUGUAUCAACUUUUAGGAAUUACAUUGCUAUAAGAGAAGAGUAAGAAGAAGGAAUUAAUGAUUUUCCUUCUCCUCCUCUUUCUCCUUUCCCCAGCUGGGCCUGAAGGAUUAUAAACUGAGGCAGAUCUUGCAUAUGAUGAUGUCAUCCAAUUUUACUUGCCUGGCUCCUCUCAGAAAAUAGGAAGAUGUGAGAGUCUUAAGAGGAUGGCUACAGAGGGGUUAAAUUGCACUUCAUCGUCCCUCUAGAAAUACUUCCUCACAUUGUAAACCAAUCUAAAGUAAACAGUAACAUCCAUAAUUAUAACAAGUGUGUUAAAAUAAAUGUA